RNAcentral lists this unclassified non-coding RNA (530 nucleotides) under Hevea brasiliensis (rubber tree). Lineage: Eukaryota; Viridiplantae; Streptophyta; Magnoliopsida; Malpighiales; Euphorbiaceae. The record is from RNAcentral.
GGAUACAGAAAAUCCUAAGGUUUACAGUUAAACCGAGACUGCUUUCGCAGUGGCAGAUGGUUAAGCACUUCCUAUGGUAUUCAAUGAAGAUUGCAAAAUCCUAAACUGGUUGAAAUUACAUAACAAAAAAUGCAAGGUCAAAUUAAAGCAUAUAAUACCACAUGCAGGUACUAUCCCUUGCACAAAAAAUCUAAGGUUUACAGCUAAACUGUGACUGCAAUGGCAGUAGCAAACAGUUUAGAAAUUCCAAUGGUAUUCAACAAGCCACUACAAAAUACACGAUUUUUCUGAUUUUAUGAAAAAAAACUGGGGAAAAACAUAUUAUAUCAAGAUUUAGGCCAAGAUGUUCCUAUUAAAGAACUAACCUAUUCUAUGCAAAGGUUUAAAAAAAUCUGAGUAUAAAAUUAUAGAUUCAGAUUAUCUAGUAGACCUGACAACCUAAACGUCAUUUGUCUUUAAUGUGUAGAUCCAAAGAGAACUAAACUGAAAGCUCCAAAACCAUGUCAGUAUGUGAACUACUAUUUUAACAG